GCUUGUUGUCAGUGUUGCCACCUCUACAGAUUGAUCACGAGAUCUACAGUUUCUGUGCUUCAUUUCAGAUUGUCAGAUUUAACUUAGUAAUUGUGCUUAAUCUAAAGUCUUUGAAAGGUUUGUUCCAUACUUGACAGUUGUUCUAAAGUGACCUUGUGACUUCCAGGUUACAAGAUCUUUGAUGGGGAAGCAUAAUAACUGGAAAUUAAUGUUGAGGUAGUGAAGUUGCUCUCUAACAUUAAAAAAAGAACAAAAAAAAAAUAGUUGGGAACACCGGGAAGAAAAUCCCCUACCAGGUCUUCCUCGCAAUAAAACAAAAUGAAGGUUGAAUCAGCAGUGGAAUGCGUAAUUGGUGGUGGUAUUGCAAAUGGGGAGUGAUGAGGGGAUGAAUGAGGACAAGAUUAUGGAGACGCAGGAAAAGGAGAGUGAGAUGGAGGAUGAUCAGAGGAUGAAUGUGAAGGAAAAGGUUGUGAAGACACGGGGAAAGGAGAGCGAGAUCUCGGUGCAUGAUGCGGGGACGAAGGAAGAGACGGAAGGAAGUUGGGAAGCAGAAGAGGUACGGUGAGGAGAACUUGGACUGGAAGAUGAAGAAAGAUGCUGGAGUGAGGAAUGGAGCAAAAAAGGAUGCCGAGGUAAGGAAUGACGCGAGGAUGGAGGUAAUGAUGAUGGACUUGUAUCGUGACUUAAACCGGUUUAAGCCGUACCAGUAUUAUUUCUGAAAACCGGUAUCGGUAAUAACGGUAUUUUCGUUACACCGAACAUCGCAACUUGAUGACACCAGGACAUGAUCUGUAUCAGAACUCCAGAUGGAAACCAGUAAAACACCUGACCUCAUAUAUUUUACGCAAAAUUGAUCAUAUACAGUUAUAAUCUUCAUUCCCUCUUCACUUUCCUUUCCGUCAUAUAAACAGGCCCAGAUACAAAACCAAAUAAUUAAAUAAAAGCCAACUAUGUUAAUAAUCUUUAUUUUCUUAUUUCACAUUUUACUACCAUCUGUAUGGUAUCUUGCAAUACGAUUAUACAAAUUUAGCAUUCCCUGUUUAUAUCUUGCAAUACGAUUAUACAAAUUUAGCAUUCCCUGUUUAUAAAGUCUUAAAAUUACCAUUGUUUCAAGUAAAUAUAUUUUGUGACAAAUUUUUCAGAUUACAUUCUUCAGAGUAAUAAUUGUAAAUUUCACAGGUAAAAUAUGGUGGGGCUGGCAACCAUAGGAUUUGUUACUUUUUUAUUGUAGAGAAAGGGAGAGCAGGAAAUAAUAUAUAUAUAUAUAUAUAUAUAUAUAUAUAUAUAUAUAUAUAUAUAUAUAUAUAUAUAUAUAUAUAUAUAUAUAACAAGUAAAAAAAGGGAAGGGAGGAUAAGGCAAUUGUUCAUAUGACAGAUUCUGAUAAUGUUUAUCAUAUAUAGAAAAACAUCUAACAACCAGUCUAGCCUUUCACCAGUACAUUUUGUCUUUACCUAACAAGAGUAAUAAUUCUCAGGUAACUCAAAUUGCCUUUGGUGCUUCUACAAUAUGAGCAAAAAUCCUGCUACAAGCCAGUCCACAUAUAGUGUAUGUGGUUUACUACAUGUGCAAAUAUAGUCAUGUAAAUGCAAAUACCCACCCUGGUAUUAAAAGUGUAUGCCUGAGUGUCUAUCAGAUCAUGCAAAACAAGAAAAUAUCCAUGCUCUAAUCAAGCACCAUAUUAGUAUAGCUAGGAGGCAAAUCUCUCAUAGCAUUUGGUUGCAAUGUUAAUUCCAAGCAUGUAGCCUAAUAGCUAUUCAUAGCAUUCCCCAUUUCAUAUUGUGAAAAAAAAAAAAAAAAAAAUACAGUAACAGUAAAUCUCCUAAGUUAAAGUCUUCUAUGAAAAUAUAUUAACCUACUUUAAGUAGAUUUCUCCCUAAUAUAAACAUUUUGGAAAUUUCUCUAUGGUAUAAUUUUUUGCAUGAAAAAAUACAAACAUUUACUGAAAAAGUAUAGUGUUUGCCUGCAACUCUGAUAACCUGAGGUAGUUUUCAUAGAAGAUGCUGUUCCCAGGAUUAAAGACCAUAAAAUUCACAUGAGUGUGAGACAGCCCAUAUAGAUACUACAUCAAUAAUACAGAAUUACACAAUAUAUAUAGAUAUGUCAGAAAAAAAACUCUAGACAAGACAGAUUUAUUGGACAAUAAGACAACAGCUUUGUUAUUCACCUGGAUUUCAUCUACAGGUGGAUUUCCAAACUGUCGUCCCAUUUUCCAAUAAAUCUGUUGUGUGUAUAGUGAGUUUCUCUACUAUAUCAUCAACAUGGUAGUGUUUUUGACAUUCAUAUAUAGAUAUACACAAACACUCAACCUAGAUAUAAACAAUAACACCAAUGCCAUAUUCUGAAAUAUUCCAAACUCAAUGUGGAUUGCAAGUCCACUUAUUCAAAUGUAAACUGAUGAACUUUGGGUGUGUUGAGGUUUCUCAGUUAAAUGAAAGUUUGGCUUUAUCCUUCUAUAGAGGUAAAAGCUAUUUCUAAGAUUGAAAAAAUAAAUUUAAACAUUAGAAUCUGUCAGUAGUAAAUAUAAGUGUAAAAUGGAAAUUGGUGAAUCUUUCAGCAAAAAAAACAACAACACAUGUAUAAAUGUAAGGCAUUUCAUAAAGCACUUUCAUAUUUAGUCGCUGCUUGUAUGGCCGGAUUGUGUUCAGGUUUGCCCAUGUGAGCUUUGUUAUCAAGGGAGGGAAAAGAGACAUACGAGUAAUUGCCAAGUGUCUGAGAUUAAAACAUGGCAGAUCUAGAGCGAUGCCGUCUAAAAAGUCUGCACACUAAUUUCCGGGAAGCAAUUUGAUUUGUACAGUGAUUGGCUGGCAGUCCACUCUUAGUUUUUAUCUUGAAUUAACACUUUUUUGAGAGUGUAUCAAUUUUACAAUUAGUAUGCAAUAUUUGUAAUGAGUGAUUUAUGUAUUCAGAUUUAGCUCUUGUAUUUUGUCUUUGGAAACACUGAUUUAAUAUAGGUUGAUAAAUCUGCAUUAGUAAUAUGAGUACACUGUAUAUGAAAUUAACCUAUUAGCAGCGGAUGGCAUGAUUUGCUGCAAAGGCAGAGUUGGUUGUAGACGCGGAUGGCACCGUGCCAGACAAUGUAAACCAGCCACCCUAAUGCAAAAAUAUUUAAUUAAAACUGCGACCAAUGGGUUAAUAUCUUAAAAAAAUAAAAUUAUAAUAAUUCAAGAAAAAAACUAUAGACUGCCAACAACUAUGGACUAAGAUUUGAAGUAACUUGUUUAUUUCUGCAAGAAAUUCUUUGCAAAAUGACAAGUGACCCAAGCUUAUCCAAUCCUAUAUAGUAUGAUGUAGAAAUGACAUAUAGGUUUCACUUAUGCUAGUAAAAAUGCCAAUAUCUAAAGCUUGGCUCUACAAAUUUGUCACUUUUUUACCAUAAUAUUACAGAUAUUACUGCAUCUAGCUUUUAUAUGUAAAGACUUUUUUAGAAUUUGUGUAAAGGUUAGCAAUGUUUUAAUGUACCAAUAGCAUUAUUAUAAUGGGUGCUUGAACAUCAGAUCUACAGAUAAUAACAAAACCAAUAUUUUUUUUCUUUUUACCGGCAAGAGGCGUAAAUGACAUACAAUCCAUUUGACCCAGAUCAUACGUUUACUUUUGUUUUGCUGACAUAAUUGAAGAGCCAAAACUAUUAGAAUUACAAAGGGUAGUCCAGGUACCCUACUACAUAAUUUAUAGUGGAUGGAUUAUGCACAAACACUCAAAUUUGUGUCUGCUAAAAAAAAUGUCUUGUGUUUAUACAUCAUUGAUUAGCGGAUGUUGGACUGCAUCUGCAGGGUAUGUCAGUGAUGCUCUACACACCUCUUAGCAACCACAGGUAGCUGGCAAGCCUUGAGCAUGAAAUAAUGUGCUAUAUAAUUGAAAGAAAAGAAAUAUAACUGCAUAGCACAUAGUUGCUGGUGCCAUGCCAUCAGGCAGUUAGAUUUUGCUUUACUACAGCCAUGCAGGUUUGCCUUUCAAAAUUCCCACAAAAUGUGAGAUGACCAGCUCAUAAUUCCUAUCAACUUGUAUGGAUGGGGCUUCAGGCAACAGAAAGGAAUAUUGGUCGGAGUUUAUGUUCGGUUUGUAACCUUAUCUAAAAGAUUAUAUGCGAAGCUGAUAAAAUAUUGGCCAGUUAGGGGGUAUCUGUAUGAUCAUUAUUUUUUUUAUAUAGUCAAAGGUCUAUUAAUUUAUCAAUGACUAUUCAUGCAUAUGUAGUUAUCAUAUCAAAAUUUGAAGCAUUUUUGAGGGAUAUCAAAAACUCCUAUAAUGUUCUUGCAAUAGCCUUCAUGAUUUAGAAGGCAAAUUCUAUAAUUCUCAUUUCAGUUUGUAUAUAUGAAAUUUCAAAAUACUGAUACAUUUUUCACUUCUGAAUACCUUUCAUACACAACUGAUUAUGAAAAGUAUCACUCCUAGUUUUUAUAA
RNAcentral lists this long non-coding RNA (4399 nucleotides) under Penaeus japonicus. RNAcentral describes it as "uncharacterized LOC122255542". Lineage: Eukaryota; Metazoa; Arthropoda; Malacostraca; Decapoda; Penaeidae. The record is from RNAcentral.